GGUGACUGCGUACCUUUUGUAUAAUGGGUCAGCGACUUAUAUUCUGUAGCAAGGUUAACCGAAUAGGGGAGCCGAAGGGAAACCGAGUCUUAACUGGGCGUUAAGUUGCAGGGUAUAGACCCGAAACCCGGUGAUCUAGCCAUGGGCAGGUUGAAGGUUGGGUAACACUAACUGGAGGACCGAACCGACUAAUGUUGAAAAAUUAGCGGAUGACUUGUGGCUGGGGGUGAAAGGCCAAUCAAACCGGGAGAUAGCUGGUUCUCCCCGAAAGCUAUUUAGGUAGCGCCUCGUGAAUUCAUCUCCGGGGGUAGAGCACUGUUUCGGCAAGGGGGUCAUCCCGACUUACCAACCCGAUGCAAACUGCGAAUACCGGAGAAUGUUAUCACGGGAGACACACGGCGGGUGCUAACGUCCGUCGUGAAGAGGGAAACAACCCAGACCGCCAGCUAAGGUCCCAAAGUCAUGGUUAAGUGGGAAACGAUGUGGGAAGGCCCAGACAGCCAGGAUGUUGGCUUAGAAGCAGCCAUCAUUUAAAGAAAGCGUAAUAGCUCACUGGUCGAGUCGGCCUGCGCGGAAGAUGUAACGGGGCUAAACCAUGCACCGAAGCUGCGGCAGCGACACUAUGUGUUGUUGGGUAGGGGAGCGUUCUGUAAGCCUGUGAAGGUGUACUGUGAGGUAUGCUGGAGGUAUCAGAAGUGCGAAUGCUGACAUAAGUAACGAUAAAGCGGGUGAAAAGCCCGCUCGCCGGAAGACCAAGGGUUCCUGUCCAACGUUAAUCGGGGCAGGGUGAGUCGACCCCUAAGGCGAGGCCGAAAGGCGUAGUCGAUGGGAAACAGGUUAAUAUUCCUGUACUUGGUGUUACUGCGAAGGGGGGACGGAGAAGGCUAUGUUGGCCGGGCGACGGUUGUCCCGGUUUAAGCGUGUAGGCUGGUUUUCCAGGCAAAUCCGGAAAAUCAAGGCUGAGGCGUGAUGACGAGGCACUACGGUGCUGAAGCAACAAAUGCCCUGCUUCCAGGAAAAGCCUCUAAGCAUCAGGUAACAUCAAAUCGUACCCCAAACCGACACAGGUGGUCAGGUAGAGAAUACCAAGGCGCUUGAGAGAACUCGGGUGAAGGAACUAGGCAAAAUGGUGCCGUAACUUCGGGAGAAGGCACGCUGAUAUGUAGGUGAAGUCCCUCGCGGAUGGAGCUGAAAUCAGUCGAAGAUACCAGCUGGCUGCAACUGUUUAUUAAAAACACAGCACUGUGCAAACACGAAAGUGGACGUAUACGGUGUGACGCCUGCCCGGUGCCGGAAGGUUAAUUGAUGGGGUUAGCGGUAACGCGAAGCUCUUGAUCGAAGCCCCGGUAAACGGCGGCCGUAACUAUAACGGUCCUAAGGUAGCGAAAUUCCUUGUCGGGUAAGUUCCGACCUGCACGAAUGGCGUAAUGAUGGCCAGGCUGUCUCCACCCGAGACUCAGUGAAAUUGAACUCGCUGUGAAGAUGCAGUGUACCCGCGGCAAGACGGAAAGACCCCGUGAACCUUUACUAUAGCUUGACACUGAACAUUGAGCCUUGAUGUGUAGGAUAGGUGGGAGGCUUUGAAGUGUGGACGCCAGUCUGCAUGGAGCCG
This 1612-nucleotide ribosomal RNA is filed under the name Escherichia coli. RNAcentral's name for it is "partial 23S ribosomal RNA". It matches the Rfam family "Bacterial large subunit ribosomal RNA", at positions 592 to 2188 of the family's 2925-position model. Lineage: Bacteria; Pseudomonadati; Pseudomonadota; Gammaproteobacteria; Enterobacterales; Enterobacteriaceae. The record is from RNAcentral.